This 403-nucleotide ribosomal RNA is filed under the name Fusobacteriota bacterium. RNAcentral's name for it is "Fusobacteria bacterium partial 16S ribosomal RNA". It matches the Rfam family "Bacterial small subunit ribosomal RNA", at positions 355 to 776 of the family's 1533-position model. Lineage: Bacteria; Fusobacteriati; Fusobacteriota. The record is from RNAcentral.
UGGGGAAUUUUGCACAAUGGAGGAAACUCUGAUGCAGCGACGCCGCGUGAGUGAUGAAGAUCUUCGGAUUGUAAAACUCUGUCCUUAGUGAAGAUAAUGACAGUAACUAAGAAGCAAGCCCUGGCUAAAUACGUGCCAGCAGCCGCGGUAAUACGUAUGGGGCAAGCGUUGUCCGGAAUUAUUGGGCGUAAAGGGUACGUAGGCGGUUUAAUAAGUCCUAAUUAAAAGGCUAUGGCUCAACCAUAGUAUGGUUAGGAAACUGUUGAACUUGAGUAGAUGAGGGGAAAGUUGAAUUCCAUGUGUUGCGGUGAAAUGCGUAGAUAUAUGGAGGAACACCAAUGGCGAAGGCAACUUUCUGGAAUCAAACUGACGCUGAGGUACGCAGGCGUUGGGAACAAACAGG